Molecule: ribosomal RNA, 413 nt
Filed under: uncultured prokaryote
Description: bacterial SSU rRNA
Rfam family: Bacterial small subunit ribosomal RNA
Source: RNAcentral
GUGUCAGCCGCCGCGGUAAUACGGAGGGGGUUAGCGUUGUUCGGAAUCACUGGGCGUAAAGCGCGCGUAGGCGGACUAUUAAGUCAGGGGUGAAAUCCCGGGGCUCAACCCCGGAACUGCCUUUGUUACUGGUAGUCUAGAGUUCGAGAGAGGUGAGUGGAAUUCCGAGUGUAGGGGUGAAAUUCGUAGAUAUUCGGAGGAACACCAGUGGCGAAGGCGGCUCACUGGCUCGAUACUGACGCUGAGGUGCGAAAGUGUGGGGAGCAAACAGGAUUAGAUACCCUGGUAGUCCACACCGUAAACGAUGAAUGCCAGUCGUCGGGUAGCAUGCUAUUCGGUGACACACCUAACGGAUUAAGCAUUCCGCCUGGGGAGUACGGUCGCAAGAUUAAAACUCAAAGGAAUUGACGGGG